UACGGAAGGGGCAAGCGUUGUUCGAAAUCAUUGGGCGUAAAGGGCGCGCAGGUGGUUCUGUAUGUCUGCCGUGAAAGCAUACAGCUCAACUGUAUUGUGUCGGUAGAAACUGCAGGACUUGAGGCUGGGAGGGGCUGGUGGAAUUCCCUGUGUAGCGGUGAAAUGCGUAGAGAUGGGGGAGAACACUCGUGGCGAAGGCGGCCAGCUAGACCAGUUCUGACACUGAGGCGCGACAGCGUGGGGAGCAAACAGG
RNAcentral lists this ribosomal RNA (253 nucleotides) under uncultured bacterium. Its description in RNAcentral is "partial 16S ribosomal RNA". It matches the Rfam family "Bacterial small subunit ribosomal RNA", at positions 524 to 776 of the family's 1533-position model. The record is from RNAcentral.